AUGCAAAGGAACUCCAGGAAGGCCAAUAACUCUCUGCAGAUGCUCAUAUGCUGGGAAAUUUGGAACGAAAGGAACACUAGGGUCUUCCGCUCCAAAGCAUUACAUACUUCUAGGGUGGCCGCGACAAUUAAGGAUGAGGCGAAUACUUGGGUUAUCGUCGGGGCUAGAUUGUUGGGAAACUUAAUUCUAGGAGAGUGA
This 198-nucleotide ribosomal RNA is filed under the name Triticum aestivum (bread wheat). RNAcentral describes it as "partial small subunit ribosomal RNA". Lineage: Eukaryota; Viridiplantae; Streptophyta; Magnoliopsida; Poales; Poaceae. The record is from RNAcentral.